Molecule: ribosomal RNA, 497 nt
Filed under: uncultured bacterium
Lineage: Bacteria
Description: partial 16S ribosomal RNA
Rfam family: Bacterial small subunit ribosomal RNA
Source: RNAcentral
GAUGAACGCUGGCGGCGUGCCUAAUACAUGCAAGUCGAGCGAACAGACGAGGAGCUUGCUCCUCUGACGUUAUCGGCGGACGGGUGAGUAACACGUGGAUAACCUACCUAUAAGACUGGGAUAACUUCGGGAAACCGGAGCUAAUACCGGAUAAUAUAUUGAACCGCAUGGUUCAAUAGUGAAAGACGGUUUUGCUGUCACUUAUAGAUGGAUCCGCGCCGCAUUAGCUAGUUGGUAAGGUAACGGCUUAGCAAGGCAACGAUGCGUAGCCGACCUGAGAGGGUGAUCGGCCACACUGGAACUGAGAAACGGUCCAGACUCCUACGGGAGGCAGCAGUAGGGAAUCUUCCGCAAUGGGCGAAAGCCUGACGGAGCAACGCCGCGUGAAUGCUGAAGGUCUUCGGAUCGUAAAACUCUGUUAUUAGGGAAGAACAAAUGUGUAAGUAACUAUGCACGUCUUGACGGUACCUAAUCAGAAAGCCACGGCUAACUCCGUG